RNAcentral lists this ribosomal RNA (492 nucleotides) under uncultured bacterium. RNAcentral's name for it is "partial 16S ribosomal RNA". It matches the Rfam family "Bacterial small subunit ribosomal RNA", at positions 29 to 507 of the family's 1533-position model. The record is from RNAcentral.
AGUGAACGCUGGCGGUACGCCUAACACAUGCAAGUCGAACGGCAGCACAGUAAGAGCUUGCUCUUACGGGUGGCGAGUGGCGGACGGGUGAGGAAUACAUCGGAAUCUACUUUUUCGUGGGGGAUAACGUAGGGAAACUUACGCUAAUACCGCAUACGACCUACGGGUGAAAGCAGGGGAUCUUCGGACCUUGCGCGAUUGAAUGAGCCAAUGUCGGAUUAGCUAGUUGGCGGGGUAAAGGCCCACCAAGGCGACGAUCCGUAGCUGGUCUGAGAGGAUGAUCAGCCACACUGGAACUGAGACACGGUCCAGACUCCUACGGGAGGCAGCAGUGGGGAAUAUUGGACAAUGGGCGCAAGCCUGAUCCAGCCAUACCGCGUGGGUGAAGAAGGCCUUCGGGUUGUAAAGCCCUUUUGUUGGGAAAGAAAAGCAGCAGGUUAAUACCCCGCUGUUCUGACGGUACCCAAAGAAUAAGCACCGGCUAACUUCGUG